GAAAACUUCUAAGAAAUUCCUGUAGGAGACCAGGAAGAACAUCUCGAAGAUAGUUCAAGACAUCUCUUGAGGAACUCUUGCAGUAAAUUCGUGAAAACUCCUUCAGAAACCCUUGGAGGAACUUUAGUAGAAACCCCAGGAAUAACUCCUUUAGCAACUCUGAAAGAAAUUCUGGAAAGAUCUUCUGGGGAAGUCCCAAGAGGAACACCGCAAGGAAUCGCGUAAAAGUUCCAUGAGGAAUUCCGAAAUUAAUUCCACGAUUACGACCCAAUAUUUUUUUUAUCGGAGUAAAAUUUCCCUGAGUACUCAAGAUAUUCCCUGAGUAUUCCAGGUUUUUCCCUGUUUAACCCUUAUGUUGCCGGCAGGGUACCCGGGUACCCAGCACCCAUUUAAAAUACACGGUGUAGAAAAAAGCAAAAACGGUUAAUAAAACUCCCUGAGGAUUCCCGGUUUUUCAGGUUUUUCCAGGUAAUAGACACCCUGGCUAGGUUUCCUAUUCACAUGGGACUGUUGUGCGAAUGGGGAAAGUGUGUACAACUCGUCUAAAAUUGAUGAACCAAAAAAGUUGUACUAAUCAUUGUAACAUUAUAAGACGAAGGAAAAACCUUUGAUAAAAAAGGAAAUAAUUAUUUAUGUAACGAGAUUAGAUAUUCCAUUCAGGACUGUAAGUAUCGCUUGGUGCGGCUAAAAGGCUUUCCAUCCGUAACCAUCCGGGUCGGUUUGCAACAGUGUCUUCCUGGAUGUCGCAUCAUCUAUGCACGUCUAAAAAACUGCUUCAGAAGGAUAGUGUUCUAUAGAACAGGCCUAGUUUACCCCACGUCUCCACCAGACAGAAAUGCAUUGUAAUUUUGCUGCCAGAAAGAGAGAACAUCACAGAACUAUUCAUGCAAAUGGGGAAGCGAAUGCAGAGAAAGUUUCCCUACAUGUUGUUUCUAAGAAGGAAUGAACAUUCAUGGUGCUAACAGUGUCGGUGAGAAGGAAGGGUAUUUUUGAAAAUGCCCACAAGACAUGACUGAGGGCAAACAUGACUAUCAUGGCCCUGUAGCAUAAUCGGGCUAAUAAUAUUAGCUACAAGUUACAAGUACUAAUAUUACAAGUGCUAAUAAUUUGUGUUGCAUAAAGGCUCAAUUUUCCACUAAUAUUAUUAGCACUUGUAAUAUUAGUGACCAUGAAAAUACAAGUUGUUUUGGUUCAUUUAUCUGUCAAAAUUCAUCCGACAGUUCACUAUUACUUUGAAAUGGCAGUUGAUGUUUGUUUAUAUUCUGCAUUUUCCGCGUAACAUCCGGAAAUAACUUCAUUUUUUCCGAAGUUUUGCAUUUUUAUACGAUAGAUGAAAAAAAGCAUGUGCUGUUUGGAUAAUUUUCGGCCGCUCUGACGAAAUAUUUUUUUACAAAGUAUGGCACUGCAAGUACCUAGAUUUUAAGUGAAAUGUCCCAAAGAUUUAAAAGUACUGGUUGAAAAACAAUGUAUAAAGAUUUAGCAACAUGUAUUAUGCUUCUUGUUAAAGUCCGAAGUGAUCUGGGAUGCAAAAAUUGAGCUUUUACCUACUUUUAUAUGUCGCAACUCGAUUCGAGUUAGUGUAUGUAUAUUGUAGCUCUUGAUUAGCUUGAUGAUGCGCAAUACAAGCAAUUGAUUCAAAUUUAUUUUGCAUCUGCAACUUUACCUGUGCUUAUGCAGUGACCAUAACAUAUAACUUUACCAAGAACCUCCAAUCAAAGAUGGGUAUUGUAGAAACUUUGGAGAACUUAAGAGACUCAGCAGAAAUUAUAUUUUGGACACAAAGUGUACAUCAGCGUAAUUUUCUCUUCAAUGAGUUUCGAAUACAUACUGCCAAAUUUAAUCGUCGAAAAUAGAAAUUAAGGUUGAUAUGUUAAAUAAAUAAUAUCUUUUGAGUUCAUCUAAAUGGUAAAUCGAUAUAUUCAAAACUAAAUAUGACUUCUACAAUACUUUAAAUCUAACUUGUAAAUUAUUUUACAAGACCUUUGAGACUUGUAAUCAAAAGUACAAGUCAUAGCUAAUAUUUUAUACUUGUAGUUUGUUUAUGCAACAUACACCCUUAAUUUCUACUAAUAAUAUUAGUCCAACCGACUUGUAGUAUUGGACUUGUAACUUGUACUUGUAGUAUUUUUAUGCAACAGAAAAUUAUAAGUUACAAGCUACAAGACUAAUAUUAUUAGUAAAAUUUUCAUUAUGCUACAGGCCCCAUGUUAUCCUUCAUUUGGGACAUUUGUGCCAUUGUCAUAUAUACGAUAUAUGAGAUUAUCUCAUCUCAUGGCAUAAAAACAUUUAGCAUAAAGGACAGUUUGUUGUCCAACUAGAGCUGAUCGUCCAUACCUACCACAACGGGUUUAAUCAGUGUAUUAUAAAAGGCACUGUAAGUAAUACGCAUAGGCGUAAAAGUAUUAUUAUUAGAAGCCAGAUAACAUAUCUACGGGAGGUAAACUACAGAAUUUUGAUUAGAACUACUUAAACACAUGGUAAAGUGGGGAACAACCGUCUACACUUAGGUCUUUGUAGAGGUGCAAUUCGAACAACAGGUACAGUCUGGACAAAUAUGCUGUCACGCAGCCACAAAGCUUCAACUGAAAAUGAUUCAAAAUUGAUUGAACUUACAGCGGAAAAAUGCCCAAAAUAGAAGUUCUGUUGAGAUGGUUCCACUUCCCUAUAUUAUUAUCAGAUCUUUUAAAUACUCAAUAACUCAAAUAACAUUUUGCCCCCGAUCAUCCAGUGAGUUAUUUUCAAUGACGCCGCAUAAUGUUUUGACCGAAAUUUAGAAUCGAUGGCAUCGCUAUUAUAAACAAAAUCAGAAUCUGUUUCAGCAGUGUAGUUUUUUCUGCCAAUGCAUCUGUUAGCUUCACUGAUCGCAUCAAAGCACUUCCACAAGAUCACAGAUUCACUUGUCUCAUUUCAGGCUAGCUGUUGCUUACAACACCGAUAUGCUGGAAAACAUCUCGGAACAGAAACACAAAUCUGCUGAAAAAGGGUGCUCCCACUGUGGCAAACCAGCAGAAAAGAAGUGUUCCAAAUGCGUUUCUGCUUUCUACUGUUCUCGCGACUGUCAGGUUGCCGACUGGACCAAACACAAGGAGAUGUGUCAUCACUUGAAAACACUUUAAAUCGCUUACUCUUAGGAAUUACUGGAUUUUCACGUUAUGUAUUCUUCAAUAAACAUUCUUGCGAUCCCUCA
Aedes albopictus (Asian tiger mosquito) is the source of this 3187-nucleotide long non-coding RNA. RefSeq lists it as uncharacterized. The record is from RefSeq and is a predicted model, not a curated record. The transcript has 2 exons. Lineage: Eukaryota; Metazoa; Arthropoda; Insecta; Diptera; Culicidae.